RNAcentral lists this ribosomal RNA (419 nucleotides) under bacterium. RNAcentral's name for it is "partial 16S ribosomal RNA". It matches the Rfam family "Bacterial small subunit ribosomal RNA", at positions 355 to 776 of the family's 1533-position model. The record is from RNAcentral.
UGGGGGAUAUUGCACAAUGGGCGAAAGCCUGAUGCAGCGACGCCGCGUGGGGGAUGAAGGCCUUCGGGUUGUAAACUUCUUUUGCUCUGAACAAGGCAUGCUAAUGGGUGUGUUGAGUGUAGGGGUUGAUUAGCGCCGGCUAACUACGUGCCAGCAGCCGCGGUAAUACGUAGGGCGCGAGCGUUGUCCGGAAUUAUUGGGCGUAAAGGGCUUGUAGGUGGCUGGUUGCGUCUGUCGUGAAAGCUCAUGGCUUAACUGUGGGUUUGCGGUGGGUACGGGCUGGCUUGAGUGCAGUAGGGGAGGCUGGAAUUCCUGGUGUAGCGGUGGGAUGCGCAGAUAUCAGGAGGAAUACCGGUGGCGAAGGCGGGUCUCUGGGCUGUUACUGACACUGAGGAGCGAAAGCAUGGGGAGCGAACAGG